This 45-nucleotide non-coding RNA is filed under the name Schistosoma mattheei. The record is from RNAcentral. Lineage: Eukaryota; Metazoa; Platyhelminthes; Trematoda; Strigeidida; Schistosomatidae.
AUCCAGCUGAUGAGUCCCAAAUAGAACGAAAUGCCCGUCACGGAU